CUACCAGAAACAAUUUCGUGUUCAUCCUCCAUGGUUUUUUAGUCGUUUUUGACAGAAUCGCCUGUUACUGGUAAUCUGAGAAGACCACUGUCUACAAAGGGCUGCAACUCUUCUUUUGCCAGCUCUUUUAUCUUGGAAUCCGAGGUUUCCAAAUAUGCGUUAAUGAUCUUGGAACUACAAAUAAAGGCGAUCUCAUUUUCAGGGCUUUUGUCUACUUACGAUCUUUGACAAUUUAACAAGGAAAAUGUUUGAUUAAGAAAGUCUCACCUAUGUCCUUCGACCCAGGUCGCACAUUUCCCUUUUAGAGCUUUUUCCCACAGAGUCGAAGCAAAAGCAGGACAGUCGAGAACAAGUUUUCUUAUAGUCCUGCUUGAAUGGAACUGCUCGAGAAUAUGCUCCUCUUCUGCAUUGUCCAGCUUAGGCUGAACAGCGAGUGAAACUAUAGCUUCAUGCAAAAAGGAUAACUUUUCAUCCAAAAUUGGAUGGAGGAUACCAUCAGCACCUCCAACAGCAACCUACAUGUAAUUACGAGAUUGAUUCAAGUCAAUGAUUCAUAGGCUACCAAAAUAAUUGAAGCCAAAAAAUAACUUGGAGACUGAAGGAAGAUCAGAUUAGAUAAACAAAAUGAAGCAAAUCCCAAUCCAAGAAGGGAAGAAUCGUGUAUUGAUGCAUAAUGAAAUACAAAUAUGCAAUUUUAUCAUAGAUGCCUUUUAAAGAAAGCUUCAAGUGAAAUUCACAAGUGACAUUCAAUGGAUGUUAAAUUAUCCCACUUAGCGAACUCACAAAAAAAGAGGAUUUCACAGAGCAAUUUCGGGGAUUUUAUUGUCUAUGUUAUAUACUGGCUAUUUUAUCGUACACUAUUUAUCAGAAAAUUCACAAUUUAAAACAUCAUUUUGCUUUGUGCGCUCAUUUGGUUCUCUAGAAGAGAGAUCUACUUACAUCUAAAAAGUGAUUCGUUACUAGUCAAGAGCAUAUUGGAUGGACACGGAGCGUCCUCCAUAUUGCUUACUCUGUUAAGCCUUUUUCCCUAUUUUGUUGGAUCAUUUUUCAAAAAACGAACUUUUAAUGUAGCACGUCGGUUUUGUUUAAGUCAUUUAUAAACAGCCUGAUCCAAGACAGCUAGCGGGGCAAAUUGUUGAAAACUCAGAAAACUGUGCUCUGGUGAGAUACGCCACCACUGAGGAUUUCCAUCAGGCAUCAUAUGAAGGCAAUGUAAGUUUAGUUCGUUUCCUCCUAUGCGUUAGUGUGCACUUAUAGAUUCUUUUAUCUUAUAAAAGAGAACCAAUAAGCUAUCAGGUAUCUAGGUAUUUUCCCUUCAAAACAGCAACGGAUUAUGCAAAGGUUGCAGAUUAUAAUGAGGACUGAUGGGCUACAGGAUAACUACCUCAUAUAUGAUCUCUUUCCCAAAUUUAGACCUCAGUAACUCUCCUGCCAUUUCAUGGCACGCAUCAAUGAGCGUUUGUUUAUUAAUAUUAAAUAUUUAUUUAUUUUAAUUAAUUAUUCAUUACAUAUUUGAGGGAGCUAUUAGUCACCAAUCGCAUGUGAUGACACGAGCUAUAUGAGUUUCUGCCAAAAUACGAAAUAAAUGAAUAAGCCCAAAAUCCAAGGUAAAAUAUGAACAGCAUCAGUUCAACAGUCAUAUCACGUUGUAAAUAAGCUAGAUAAUUUUAACUAGUUGAAAAGCAAACAGCAGAAGCAACAUUGCUAUAGAUUCAAGGUGGAAAAUGGCUGCUCCCAAUGGAAAACGAGAAAACAGUAAUUCCCGACUUAUAGCGGUUGCCACUCUAUCUGGGUCAAAGGAUCCGUUACUUUAUCAACUGAAGACAUUGAUUGUCAACGGAGGCCCCCGUUUGAUUCCCCUUUUUUUUCAAAAUGUAUUUUUCUCUUUCUUCUUUUCAACCACACAUUCUUCAUUAAAAUAAUAUUACACGUAAAUCAAAAAAAAUUCCUUAUUUUUCACCUACACAUUCUUCAUUGAUCUAGUAUUCUAAAAUUCAUUUUUCCCUAAAAAUGAGUAUCAAACACCCCGACAAUAUAAAAAUUGGCUCUCACCGAAUAAUUGAGAAUUAAGUAGAUUAACAACAAUGAAUUUGAGAUCCUAUUGCCCUUUUUUGUCAUUCGAUUAAUUUCAAGAAUUUUCAUACUUGGUUUAAUUGCUUGUUUUACUCGUUAACUAGAUGUAGUUUAAAACAAAACCUAAAUAACUGAUUGCAUGUUUCUUGAAUUAGAGUUGCUUUAUUAAGGUAAAGUACGUAGAUAAUCAAUCCUCGUGAAGUAAUACUUUAUUAGUCAUUUUAUUAAUUGUAACUAUCCAUCCACUUACAGCAUAAAUCGACUAGUUUUUUACACCGUCGAUGGUGACUACUAAAUUUAGCUUUAAUUCCAUUUUCAGGUGAUCAACUGUUAAAUUAUUUUUUCAGGGAACAAGGAAAGCAGCAAUAUAACAAAAUGGGCGACAACGGAAACUACAUUAGUAGGGUAUUACAUUCAUAAAAUAUAAAAGAAGAAGAAGAUAUUCUUGUUUCUUUGAAAAUGAUAAGUUUAGCUUAAAAGACUAGUAACAACAUAAAAAGAGAUCCCAAAACUUCUAAAACAGAAAAGACAUUUAAACUUUGAGCGUCCUCUUCUAUUAUCAUGCCAAUGUUAUGAGGUGCUAACCGGAUCUAUAAACGGCUUGCUUCCCAUACAGGCGUAUAAAACUUCCAUCGUCCCAAAACUCAUGCAACCAAAAGAACUCAUUCGACUGAGUAGAAACUGUCAAUGAUUCUCAUCAGACGAGUCAUUCGUGUGAGCAGGCAUUUAUAUCACAUUCAUGCUCUACCAGAAACAAUUUCGUGUUCAUCCUCCAUGGUUUUUUAGUCGUUUUUGACAGAAUCGCCUGUUACUGGUAAUCUGAGAAGACCACUGUCUACAAAGGGCUGCAACUCUUCUUUUGCCAGCUCUUUUAUCUUGGAAUCCGAGGUUUCCAAAUAUGCGUUAAUGAUCUUGGAACUACAAAUAAAGGCGAUCUCAUUUUCAGGGCUUUUGUCUACUUACGAUCUUUGACAAUUUA
Molecule: long non-coding RNA, 3052 nt
Filed under: Olea europaea (common olive)
Lineage: Eukaryota; Viridiplantae; Streptophyta; Magnoliopsida; Lamiales; Oleaceae
Description: long non-coding RNA (OEUR_LNC001477)
Source: RNAcentral